AGCGAACGCUGGCGGCAGGCUUAACACAUGCCAGUCGAGCGGGCGUAGCAAUACGUCCGCGGCAGACGGGUGAGUAACGCGUGGGAACGUACCUUUUGGUUCGGAACAACACAGGGAAACUUGUGCUAAUACCGGAUAAGCCCUUACGGGGAAAGAUUUAUCGCCGAAAGAUCGGCCCGCGUCUGAUUAGCUAGUUGGUGAGGUAACGGCUCACCAAGGCGACGAUCAGUAGCUGGUCUGAGAGGAUGAUCAGCCACAUUGGGACUGAGACACGGCCCAAACUCCUACGGGAGGCAGCAGUGGGGAAUAUUGGACAAUGGGGGCAACCCUGAUCCAGCCAUGCCGCGUGAGUGAUGAAGGCCCUAGGGUUGUAAAGCUCUUUUGUGCGGGAAGAUAAUGACGGUACCGCAAGAAUAAGCCCCGGCUAACUUCGUG
RNAcentral lists this ribosomal RNA (435 nucleotides) under uncultured bacterium. Its description in RNAcentral is "partial 16S ribosomal RNA". It matches the Rfam family "Bacterial small subunit ribosomal RNA", at positions 29 to 507 of the family's 1533-position model. The record is from RNAcentral.